Molecule: long non-coding RNA, 985 nt
Organism: Asparagus officinalis (garden asparagus)
Lineage: Eukaryota; Viridiplantae; Streptophyta; Magnoliopsida; Asparagales; Asparagaceae
Exons: 4
Source: RefSeq, a predicted model, not a curated record
CGAGAUGCAACUGGACCGGGAGGACGUGGUGGAAGCAAGCCUGAUUCCAAACAGGCACCGAGAGGCUUUCGGGGAAUUCUUCAGUGGGUUGAUAACUUGCCGAUCGGCCCGUGGUCAAAAAAAUUUAAUAACUACAUCGGCGUUUUAGUACGGCGGGCUCAAGUCAUAAACCCAUACUUCAAAUUCAAGGAGCUUCCAUGGUCCGCAUACGAGGAUAUAUAGAGAGAGUUGAUGGUAUAUGAUCAUUACUUCUUUAAUUUUUUUUGAUAUAGAAUACGUUUACAAAAUGCUUAGAUAUCUUAUAUUUUUACAUGCAAAAUUGUAGAAAUACUAUUGUCUUGAGGACUACCCGGGGGCGUGGCACUAUGUUUUCAAUAUCAAAGUUGAGGCCGUGCUCAAACAGUGGCGACAUGAGCUGAAGAUAUCAACAUAUGAUAAAUAUACCCAAGACUGGCAGAGAUUUUUAAAUCUCGAUGAGAGGGUGGAUCUCGAUCAUUUCACGGCUCUUCUUUUUUAUUGGGAUACCGAGUCCGCACAGGAUAAAUCUAAGAAGGGCUCGACGAACCGACAUAGCAAGCGCAAGCUUGACCACCACUUGGGAUCGAGGUCCUUUGCCAACCUUGAGUAUAGAUAUUGUCGAGACACGGGGAAGCCGAUAAUGCCGAUCAAUUUGAAGGCAAAGUUAGCUUACGGCACAUUUCACUCAACAUAUAAAGAUGAAGAGAAGAUUAAAGAAAACAUGGUGUUGGUGGAUAAUAUUGCUGCCGCGUCGAAGGAUGCAGCACUACGUGCUACCCAAGAAGCUGCUGAUGACCCUCAUGUUUUGUCAAGAGAGGAAAGUAAUGUCAUUGCAAUGAAUGUGAUGGGGUAUAAUAACCGGGGUAGAUACCCAUUGAUGGGGGUUGGAGCUCAGCGGGGUACCUCCAGAAAAUCCUCCACGGCAUCCUCGACAACCUCGACUGCAACUACAUCAUCAAACAGAACU